UGGAAGCAGUAGGAUUGUGCGCAGAAAACUUUCUAAGUUGGAUUGGGCAUGGAUCUAAGAAACAACCCAGUUAAUACUACUGAUUUUAGGCACCCGUCCUCCUCACCGGCUUCCCAGGCUAAAAUGACUUUACAACAAAAAUAAGAGAUACAUUCAUUCAGCAUGGACUUCCAGCUUGGAAUUGCACUUGUAUUAUUUGUGCAGUGUUCACUGGCACGUGAUAAGGAUUAGUGAAUAUCCGAUGAAGGAAUGAAUUUAUUCCUCACAGCAACCCUACAGCAUCCCCAACUGACAGGAGACAGACGCUCUGAGAGCUGGGCAGCCCUCUCUCUCCAACCUUCCAUGAUGAUAAUGAACUUCUGGUAGCCAUUGACCAAGAAAAUAUCAACGACAAAAGGACAUCAGGAAUUCAGUACAACUUUGAAAUGGACUUACAUUUAAUUGAGCACAACUGCAUCCAAAUGCUUUUGGAAAACACACGCACAUGUCUGAGACAUUAUCCCACCAGCACGUUUAUGAACACUCAAGCCCAGCAUUGUGCUGAGAGAAAGCAGCCUGCUCUCAAAUGAACAAUUAACUCGAAGAGUAUUGCCUACCAACAGAUACCUUUCUGGAGGAGCUUAUUACAAAGGAAGCACUUAAAAAUUUAAAAUACUUAGAGGCAAUAUGGAUGUCUUUGAUUCCAGAAAACUCCUUGUGUUUCUUUGCAAGGCUUCUCCUGAAAUCUCUGCCCUGAUUUUGAUAGAAGAGCAGUCUGGGAAACAAAUUACCCAAGUGAAAAAGGAGAGAAAUGAUGCUACAGCUGCUUUAGACGAAUUUGAUUUUCUUUCCUGUUUUGUGGCUGUCUUGAUAUUUCUGAUUUCAGUUACUUCUGUCGAACUAAAACCGUUGGGUGAACUGGAUUCGCCCGAUUCUAGACAGGGCCUUCACCAUAGUUUGGUCCAGACUCUCAGUUUUGUAGCUAUAAAAGCUGAGGUACAGUGAUGCGGUGUGCCAUGUCACAGGUCCUUCUACUCCAUAACAUCACACACACCACGGUGCAACACCUGCAAAUUAACUUCUUGAACAGAGAUUCAACCUGUGUGAAACACAGGUGUGACUUCUUAGUCUCCCUGUCUGUCCCUCUUCAUGUAGACACAUGUCAGCUGCUGGGAUAUUUCAUCUGGAGUGAGGGCCUGGGUGAGAUCUGGGGCUUUGGAGUGGGUAGAUGUGGCCUGGCAUGCAGUCGGGCCAUGCGCCCUGAGAUGGGUACCAGACGUACAGUGUGAUAAAGAACACAUGCUCUGGAGCCUGACUGCCCGAAUGUCCUGGUCCUGACACUUAAUAACUGUGUGACCUUGGCAAGCUACUUAUCCUUUCUUGUGUCUCAGUUUGUUCAUCUGGAAAGUGGGGAUGAUGGUGGUACCUCUUUCCCAUGACCGUGGUGAAGAUUAAAUAGAUUAAUACACGGGAAGUGCCUAGAAGUGUGCUGGACAGAUGAUAGACACUUGGUAAAGGCUAUUGUUAUUAUUAUUACUGUACAUUAUGAUUACGUUGUCUUCACCUGUACAGCAAUAGCCGUGUCACAGGAUUGCAGAACGUAAGUGAAAUUGUGACUGAUUUAAGACGCGGGAUGAAUGCAUUAGCAGUGUGCCUUCGGCAAGAUGCUGCACCUCUUGGGCCCUUUCUAGCUCCUCUUAAGUAAUGUUGCGCAGUCAUGGACUAAUUGCUCUUGCCAUAGGGUGACCAAAUUGUCCUGAUUUGUCCUGGACUUUGCUGGUUUUAGCAUGGAAAGUUCCAUGUCCUGGGAAACCCCUGAUCCAGGUAGACUGGGAUGGUGGUUACCCUGGGCCUCUGUGACCCUUGGGCCUUGAUGUGCCCUGUCCGGUGCCCCUCAUCCCACAUUAUCAUUGGGGAGUGGAUUGGGGUGUGUGUCACAGAUAUUAUUGAUUGUUGAUGCCAGUUCAUCUUCCCUCGUCACCUCCUUCCUUGCUGGCAGGGUCCUGAUUUUAUUCUUUUGUUCACUGAGUGGCCCUGUGCCCAGAAAAGGUGAUGAUAACCCCAGUUCACCAAGGUGGGGAUGGAUCUUGAUUAAUCUAAGCCAAGCUUGCAGUUCUAGUCUCCUUACCAGGGCCUGAGUUAGCAGGGGAAGGUGGAGUGCACUGAUGCGGUACUACUAGUUGUUAAAACAUUGACUUGCUCUGUCAUGGUUGGUAAAGAGAUGUUGCCCAAGUGUGUCAUCUUCUGCCCCAGGAUUCCUGGGCUAAACCUCCCCCACUCAACUCCUAAAGGGUUAAUGUCUAACACCACUGGGGGCUUCCUGGACCCUGGCUCCAGGCCUCCUGCUUUGUUGGCUCGGUGUCCUUGCCUUUGUGUCUGUUGUUUAUUUUGUAGAAUAUCUUGCCUGCAUGUGAUCUAAUUCUGGGGACAGCUCCAUUCACUUUCCUAGGGUCAGUGGUCCUGGUGGCAUCUACCAGGGUCUGGGGUCGUGGUGUAGUCUCAGUGUUGGUGUCCACAGCGGCAGAUACAGUGGUUCUGUGCCUGGCUGGUUCUGUAGUGUGACUCUGGGCACAGCCUCUAAACCUCACAGUGCUCUGGUAUUUCAGGAGAUACAACCUUCUAAUAAAUUCCUUUUCUGCUUAAAUCACUAGGCUGGUUAGCUUUUGCAUGUACCAUGCCGCCCAAAACUUAGUGCUGUAAAACAAUAACAUUUGUCUAGCCGUGGGUCAUCAGCCUGGGCCUGGCUCAGCUGGGUUCAUCCGUGUGUCUGCCGUCAGCUGCUGGUUGGCUGGCACUGGCUGAUCUGGGGUAACCUCAGCUGGGAUGGCACAUUUCUACUCCAUGUGACGUAUCCUCAUCCAGCAGACAAACCCGCACUUGAUCACGCAGUGAUCACAGAGUGAUCACAUAGUGGUGGCAGCCUUCCAAGGGAAGGAGUGGAAGUAUACAAGGCCCCCUGAGACCCGGAACUGGCACAGUGUCACUUCUGCCCCAUUUUGUUGGUAGAAGUAAGUCACAAACCCAGACCGGAUUCAAGAGCUGGAGAAAUAGGUUCUGCCUUUUGAUAGUGUGAGUGUAGCUAUAGGGAGGGGAGUAACCGGAGACAUUUUUGCCGAUUCCCACUGUCAUCCAGAGCUUGGAUUUGGUGCUCUAGCUGGCACAAUAAGGUGAAAGAUCAGGGCAAGGAAGAUGGAAGGAGGCCCCAUCUCCUCAAUAGACUGAGGAAUACUAUGGGAGAACCAGGGCGGUUCUGUCUAAGCUGCCCCAAUUCUAGGAGCGCAGACCUGGUUUGAGGGAAAUGCAUGUGAGGAAGGCGAUGAAAUGCUGUCAGGCUCUACUUAGAUUUCCUUGAAGUUAGAUGUGGUGGUUCAUGGUUCAUCCACAUUCUGCUCCCCUACCCUGGGAAUCAGCAUUGUUCUAGAUGACGGUUUCUCCAUCAACCCCCUUCCCAGAAAAAAGAGCAAAUGCUCUCUUCCCAUUCUUCUCCCCACUGUGGACAUGUAGUAUGAACGAGAACUAAACUUAUGUUGUUUUAAGCCUCUGGGAUUUGGGGUUGUUUGUUACUGCAUCAUCAACUAUGCUAUCCUGACUGAUACAGUA
Equus quagga is the source of this 3579-nucleotide long non-coding RNA. RefSeq lists it as uncharacterized. The record is from RefSeq and is a predicted model, not a curated record. NCBI's taxonomy places the organism in Eukaryota, Metazoa, Chordata, Mammalia, Perissodactyla, Equidae. The transcript has 4 exons.